Non-coding RNA from Podarcis muralis (Common wall lizard), 1096 nucleotides. The record is from RefSeq and is a predicted model, not a curated record. NCBI's taxonomy places the organism in Eukaryota, Metazoa, Chordata, Lepidosauria, Squamata, Lacertidae.
UUAUUAUUAUAAAAUCCUGUUCUGCUUCUUGAAGCCUUUGCCAACAUCAGAAACUGCAGAAACUGGCUGCUGGAUUGAUCCCAAAAGGAGAUAUCUAUUUGUGCGCUGAAGAACAUAGCUGCUAGAUUGAUUCUGCCAGAAGGUAAAAGUGGAGUGAAAAAUACGAGAAAUCUCGGGACAUUGAUGCUGUGGCAAAAACUGAUGUUGUUGUGAAAUUAUUUUGUGGCAAAAGCCCAGAAUUGAUACUUCAGACUCUGAAGAGGCUUUACUUUCGCUGGGAAUAAAAGCAGUCCCAAAGGCAGCCAUUUUACACAGGGAAAUGGAAUACAUAUUAAGUACAGCUUGGCUGGACAUAGUAUCCAAUUAAAGCACAUGAUUAAGUGGUGUUUUAAAGGGGUGUUUUCUCACCACAUCACCCAGCCAAACUGUGCUUGAAUCUGCAAUCCAGUGAUCUGCUUUGAACAUAUCUUAAGAAACUGGAAAACUCAGUGUAACUAGAGCUGAGUAGCAUUUAUUGUGAGAUCUGUGGAUCCUCCUGGGAGAAGGAAAAGAUGGGUUUCUCUGAAACUAAAACGACAGAGCGAAGUCUCCCCAUGAAUCCAGCAGUAGCACAGAAUGCUGGAAGUAAUGAAAUCACAAAUAAUGGAAGCACCCAACAAGCGAGAGAAGUCAUUCCUCCGAAACAGUGCUGCUGUCUAAAUGGUUUGUGCAAUAAUGGAAAAUCGGAGACGCGUUUUUAAUAUAAAAAUUUUGAGCUUGGCGCUUAUUGUCAUUCUGAUCAUUUCCAUCAUCAUCACGGGCAGCAUUCGUUUAUCAAGUAAGUGAGGAGCCAUUUUGCUGUAACUUCUGCCAGCUUCUCUACAGGCCACCUGUUCUCAAAAAUCUCUCCUCAGCAGCUAGAAUAGCUUUAUUGUUAUUCAGUUGAGGUAGUCUGGAAGCAGUUGCGGAUGGGGGCCCACAUUCAGUUAAUGUAUGUUUACUGUAAUCUUUGUUUACUGUAAUAAUAGACUAAUAUGCACACAGAGAUGCUUAAAUUUCAAAUGAUAUAAACAGCCUUCUGCAAUCUGGUGCCCUUAUUGCAAGAGCAGCUGGUGGG